GAUCAAGUUUUCUCUAAAUAUUUUAUUAAUAACCAAUUUGUUUUCAAACAUAUUAUGCUUCCUACUAUUUCUCAAAACAGAUUUUAAAAUUCUCAAAGAUUUUAUCCAGGUGCCUAUUUUUUUUACUGAUAUCAAAACUGAUAAAAUCUUUCCAUGUCAUUCAAGAAUUUGAUUUACUUCAACAGUCAUAUUUUUUACUAGCCGUUGGACAUCACUGUUCUAUAUUUAUACACGACUACGUUGCUAAAAUCAAUAACUCUAUCAUCUAUAAAAUAAUUGAUAUACUCAGAGAAAAAUUUCUAGCAAAUUCUAAUUGCCUUGUUCUUAUGUUGUUCUUACUAGAUAUCUAUAGUGAUCAGUUGUAAUCCCCUUAUUGUAUUAAAGUUCAUAUCUUUUAUAAAAGGGGUUUCGGAGUGAACCAAGGAGUUUUCUUUAAUAUUGUACAAUGAGAGUUCAAGGGGGGUAGAAGUGUCCAAAGGAGAAGUGGUACUCAAAGGGAGCAGAAGUGCCCAAGAGAGGAAGUUUCCUCAAGGGAGUUGCGUGCUCAGGAAGUUUUUUGAAUUCUAUUACACAGUGAGUUGAUAUUAUUGUAAUUGGUUUAUUAAUAUUAAAGAAACCUGUUAUGUAUCAAUUGAUACCUGACCUUGGAUAUAAGCCAUAGAAUAGAG
RNAcentral lists this long non-coding RNA (668 nucleotides) under Panax ginseng (ginseng). RNAcentral's name for it is "long non-coding RNA (PGIN_LNC009725)". The record is from RNAcentral. Lineage: Eukaryota; Viridiplantae; Streptophyta; Magnoliopsida; Apiales; Araliaceae.